GGAAUAUUGGACAAUGGGGGCAACCCUGAUCUAGCCAUGCCGCGUGAGUGACGAAGGCCUUAGGGUCGUAAAGCUCUUUCGCCUGUGAUGAUAAUGACAGUAGCAGGUAAAGAAACCCCGGCUAACUCCGUGCCAGCAGCCGCGGUAAUACGGAGGGGGUUAGCGUUGUUCGGAAUUACUGGGCGUAACGCGCGCGGAGGCGGAUUGGAAAGUAUGGGGUGAAAUCCCAGGGCUCAACCCUGGAACGGCCUCAUAAACUUCCAGUCUGGAGUUCGAGAGAGGUGAGUGGAAUUCCGAGUGGAGAGGUGAAAUUCGUAGAUAUUCGGAGGAACACCAGUGGCGAAGGCGGCUCACUGGCUCGAUACUGACGCUGAGGUGCGAAAGUGUGGGGAGCAAA
Molecule: ribosomal RNA, 397 nt
Filed under: uncultured bacterium
Lineage: Bacteria
Description: bacterial SSU rRNA
Rfam family: Bacterial small subunit ribosomal RNA
Source: RNAcentral